RNAcentral lists this ribosomal RNA (1706 nucleotides) under Salmonella enterica subsp. enterica serovar Typhimurium var. 5-. RNAcentral's name for it is "bacterial LSU rRNA". It matches the Rfam family "Bacterial large subunit ribosomal RNA", at positions 1240 to 2925 of the family's 2925-position model. The record is from RNAcentral. Lineage: Bacteria; Pseudomonadati; Pseudomonadota; Gammaproteobacteria; Enterobacterales; Enterobacteriaceae.
UCUGUAAGCCUGCGAAGGUGACCUGUGAGGGUUGCUGGAGGUAUCAGAAGUGCGAAUGCUGACAUAAGUAACGAUAAAGCGGGUGAAAAGCCCGCUCGCCGGAAGACCAAGGGUUCCUGUCCAACGUUAAUCGGGGCAGGGUGAGUCGACCCCUAAGGCGAGGCCGAAAGGCGUAGUCGAUGGGAAACGGGUUAAUAUUCCCGUACUUGGUGUUACUGCGAAGGGGGGACGGAGAAGGCUAUGUUGGCCGGGCGACGGUUGUCCCGGUUUAAGCGUGUAGGUGUGUGUUCCAGGUAAAUCCGGUUCACUUUAACACUGAGGCGUGACGACGAGGCACUACGGUGCUGAAGCAACAAAUGCCCUGCUUCCAGGAAAAGCCUCUAAGCAUCAGGUAACACGAAAUCGUACCCCAAACCGACACAGGUGGUCAGGUAGAGAAUACCAAGGCGCUUGAGAGAACUCGGGUGAAGGAACUAGGCAAAAUGGUGCCGUAACUUCGGGAGAAGGCACGCUGACACGUAGGUGAAGUGAUUUACUCAUGGAGCUGAAGUCAGUCGAAGAUACCAGCUGGCUGCAACUGUUUAUUAAAAACACAGCACUGUGCAAACACGAAAGUGGACGUAUACGGUGUGACGCCUGCCCGGUGCCGGAAGGUUAAUUGAUGGGGUCAGCGCAAGCGAAGCUCCUGAUCGAAGCCCCGGUAAACGGCGGCCGUAACUAUAACGGUCCUAAGGUAGCGAAAUUCCUUGUCGGGUAAGUUCCGACCUGCACGAAUGGCGUAAUGAUGGCCAGGCUGUCUCCACCCGAGACUCAGUGAAAUUGAACUCGCUGUGAAGAUGCAGUGUACCCGCGGCAAGACGGAAAGACCCCGUGAACCUUUACUAUAGCUUGACACUGAACAUUGAGCCUUGAUGUGUAGGAUAGGUGGGAGGCUUUGAAGUGUGGACGCCAGUCUGCAUGGAGCCGACCUUGAAAUACCACCCUUUAAUGUUUGAUGUUCUAACGUGGACCCGUAAUCCGGGUUGCGGACAGUGUCUGGUGGGUAGUUUGACUGGGGCGGUCUCCUCCUAAAGAGUAACGGAGGAGCACGAAGGUUGGCUAAUCCUGGUCGGACAUCAGGAGGUUAGUGCAAUGGCAUAAGCCAGCUUGACUGCGAGCGUGACGGCGCGAGCAGGUGCGAAAGCAGGUCAUAGUGAUCCGGUGGUUCUGAAUGGAAGGGCCAUCGCUCAACGGAUAAAAGGUACUCCGGGGAUAACAGGCUGAUACCGCCCAAGAGUUCAUAUCGACGGCGGUGUUUGGCACCUCGAUGUCGGCUCAUCACAUCCUGGGGCUGAAGUAGGUCCCAAGGGUAUGGCUGUUCGCCAUUUAAAGUGGUACGCGAGCUGGGUUUAGAACGUCGUGAGACAGUUCGGUCCCUAUCUGCCGUGGGCGCUGGAGAACUGAGGGGGGCUGCUCCUAGUACGAGAGGACCGGAGUGGACGCAUCACUGGUGUUCGGGUUGUCAUGCCAAUGGCACUGCCCGGUAGCUAAAUGCGGAAGAGAUAAGUGCUGAAAGCAUCUAAGCACGAAACUUGCCCCGAGAUGAGUUCUCCCUGAGACUUAGAGUCUCCUGAAGGAACGUUGAAGACGACGACGUUGAUAGGCCGGGUGUGUAAGCGCAGCGAUGCGUUGAGCUAACCGGUACUAAUGAACCGUGAGGCUUAACC